AGGUAUAUAGAAGGAUGUCUCUAAAAUAUAAAUAUAUAUAUGAAAUUCCAAUAAGUUAAAUAAAUAAAUAAGACAAAGGAAUGGGAAAACAGUUCAGUGGAACUCAUUCAAGGCUAAGAGUUUACAUUCAAGUAUCCUUGAUUUUCUCACAAAAACAAAGUUGUCCUUCCCUCAAUAAGUCACAAUGGAAGAACAAUCCAGCAUUCUGAUGAGGAUUGUUUUGUUGAACAGUAAACAAAUAAAUAAUCAUAUCAAAAAACAAAACAUAUGAUAAACACCACAAUGAUCCUGAACUUAAACUUGAGACGCUGGCACCCCACAUCAUCUGUACAGCACACACCUUGACAGACGUGUGCAUAUUCAGUGACUGCCAGACAAAAACACAUUCCACAGAGGUUUCACGUCUUUCUUUUCAAAUGGGCAAUUACAAGGACAUUAGCCCACAGUUUGUUUCAUAGGAAAAAACAAUUACAGCAUUUUCUUGGCACAGCGAGAGCCAUUGAAAGUUGCUUGGCGUUCUGAACAAUCAAAACAUUAUACAGUAGCUAUGCAAUGAAUACUUCCGUCAUCACAAAAGGCCAGUUGCCAAAGUAAAACUUGGAAAGCAGGAUAAGUUGAAGGAUAAGAGAUAAUAAUAAUAAAAAAGAGCUUUCUUCAUUGUUUAACUUGAAGUGAACCUGAUGCCUGUCUUCUAUUGCAGUGGAGUGUUUAUCUGUGUUCAUAAUGCAGUGUCUGUGGCACGGGCAGGGCUCUCCUAUCUCAACCUUUGCCUCCUCAGAGCUGCAGAUUAGCUGCGGUAAAAUAUCAGAGCUAACCUUGAUUACAACUCAGCAGGGUGAAUAGAUGUUAUUGUCACGGGCACGGCCCUCUGUGAAGUCCUUCACAUCAUUGCAGAGAGAGAGAGAGAGUGCCGUGGAGAAGAGGCGUUUUAAGAGUCUGUUCAGAAUGAAUAUCUAUAAUAGUUAAUAUAAUAAAAGUCCAGAGGAGCAGCGACAAUCAGAAUUGGACAAUUUCAUCUCUAUGAGACGAAGCCUACAUUUGCUCUGAUUCAGAGAAAAUAGCCUAAUAGAAAGAAUUCUAUUGAAUGGUAGUAAAACUAUAUUCCAGCAAUCGAUUACAUGACUAUUAAAUGCACAUUUAAAUUCAGGCAUCCAUGAUAAAUGACACAACUAUAGUCAUUUAAAAUGCUGCCACAACCAAUAGAGAGAGUACAUAAGAAAGGUAGCCAUUGUAUAAAAGGCUAAUAUGAUCUUCAAAGUAAUAGUGAUUCUCAGUGGUAUUAUAUUCCUAUAGAACAUUCCAGUGUUAUGACAGUUAAACCAUGGGUGUGCUGUGUAGAGCACAUUCAUACUGAGCUGUCCAUCAGAGAUGCAAAGUCAGACUCUGUGCUUUGAUCUGCAGCAGCAAUGUCCAGCCACAAUCCAAAGCGCCAAAAAACUCAAGGAUUCAGAAACUUUCAAUCUCCCGCCCCACCACCUCCCUUUGGGCGUCUCAAAAGUCAAUAAGCUGGACAAAGCAAGUCUUGUCUUGUUCUUCUCUUUCUCUUUCUCUUUCUCCUUCUCCUUCUUCUUGUCCUCUUCCAUCACUUCGCCGGGGACACACCGCCCUGAGGGUGUGCCUCCCUCCUGGAGAGACAAACCCAGGCUGUCUCUCCCUCUGUCUUUCACUGAGGACGUUUUUUGUUCAGAUGCUCGCGAUUCUUCAUUAUCUCGGUCAUCGUCCUCCUUUAGCGGGCCCUGGGCCAGCCGGUCCCCGACCCUUUCUUCCUCGGGGAGGCAGACUGCUGUUCAACAGCCCUCUGGUUGGCCUGGGCCACCUGCCUGCAAAAAAAAGCAAAUGUACACGAUUAGCCCCAUUGUACUUGUGCAGGAGGGAGAGUCCCAUUCCAUAAGAUGCCUAUCUCACUCAAACAUAUGCUAAUUGCCUCUGUUGUGCUCAGAGGGUAAUUUUAACCACCUUGCACAGUUAGGGGUCCGGUGCUGCUAGCAGGCAUGUUAAGUGUGUGAAUAGGUGCUCUUACCUGAGAAAGGUCAGGAGGUCGUUGCCUUGGCUACGCAUUGUCUUGGUGUGCUGACCCUGAGGGCUGACGAUCACAAGGGCAGGGUUUUCUGAGCUGUUGGGAGAAGAUUAGUACACGUUAAAAACCCAGAUCUAUGAGGUAGAGAUUUUACCCAUUUUUUUUUACCAAGAAGAGUCAUCAAAGGAUAACUGCCAUGACACCAUCAAGGCCUAGAUUUUCUCAAUGACUCCUGGAAACACCCUCAGGUUCCAUUUUUUGUAUAAGUCUCACAGCUAUCUCCCCUGGUAUUUCAUCA
This is a long non-coding RNA of Clupea harengus (Atlantic herring), 2315 nucleotides long. The record is from Ensembl. NCBI's taxonomy places the organism in Eukaryota, Metazoa, Chordata, Actinopteri, Clupeiformes, Clupeidae.